UGAACAUGCUACAUGUUAGCAAAAUUUAGUAUGUUAACAGCAUUACGUACAUGGAUUUGAAAGAUGAAAAGGUGUUACAGGCAGCGAAAAAUAAACUUAAAGAGUUAAAGAAAAAUAUUACGCACUUACUUAAUUCUUACAUCUGUGCCAGCAAUGGCAGAUACAUCAGGAGGGGCAGAAAAACAUCUGGCUACUGCAACUCCUCUAGACCAUGGUAUCAGCACAGCGGUACCAAUACGUGAGCCACAAUGCCCGUUACCACAAUGCCUGCCACCGCACAGCCUGCCACCGCACAGCCUACCACCGGAAAGCCAACCACCGGAAAGCCUGCCACCGCAUUGCCACACCUGCACUGCCACUAGUCAGGGAAGCAAUAAAAAUCUUCGCCCUCCUACAUUUAUUUGUGGCUCAAGCUGUUGACUAUUUGGCAUCUCACAUCACAGAGCUUCUUCUAAUAAUUAUGGCUGGAGCUGCCAGCAUCCCGUUUUUCGCUGGCAUAUGUUAUGUAAAACAAAUUAAAUAAUCUUAGAAUUGUGUAACAAAGCAAUUAAAUACAAAAUAACUGAUUUACAUUUUUUUUUCAACAUCUUCAUAUAUUUAAGGAGGAAAAAUAAAAAAAAUUUGCAGCUAGAAAUGUCUCAUUGCCAAGGUGUCAAACAAGACACAUCUCAUGAAGGGUAAAGGCAAAGAGCCGUCUCAGGACAUUCACAACCUAAUUGUAACAAAACAUAACAAUGGCGAUGGUUACAGGCACAUUUCUAAGCUUCUGAAUGAUCCAGUGAGGCCACAGGGGCCAAAGAGGCUUUCUUGGGGGUGUAGCCUAAUAUAAAUAAACUCUACCUGCUGUCCAGGACAGAUAGCAAAAAGAUUCGCGAAAAGGUAUACCGAACACCAGAGGAGUGUUGUCUGGUGUAAACAGCUGGAACAGCUGCGUCAUCAGGAGUGACCGCGUGGCUGAUUUCCUUUUUCUCUCAUGUCUGGUUUUGAUACUAAUUUUACCUUAUCAAUUGUUAACACUACUGUUGCUGGUGGAAGAUUUCAUAAUUUUCUGUUUCUGCCACUUGCUUGGGCAUUGCUCAUGGUCCUGUUGAUCUUCUAUUAUUUCUGUCGCCGUAAUCCUAAAACUGUUCCUCCGGUGUUUUGUAGAUCACAGAGAAAUUCACGGAUUGUUAAAGAUGGGGAAUAGGUUGUGUAGGGAUCUGCUUACAUUUGUCUGUGUUGCUGCUGCAUUCCACCUGCUCCUCUAUGAGAGCAGGAGCUCGGACUUAGUCCCUGUACCCCUUGUAUGAACCACACUGUGAUAGAAACAGUGGCCAAGGGCCUACGGGUUGUCCCCAGACAAUUUAGACGAAUUGAAAAGUGUAUUUGUAAAAUCAAAAAGGGGAUAACAAUACAGUUAUAAGCUAAAAGGCAAAGAAAAAUGUUUAAGAGACUGAGAAACAGUAUGUUACAGAAGGUGCAGAGGAAGGUAGGAUUAGACGAGGUGCGAGUGUUUAUGUACUGUAAGUGAUACUAUGGUACAAGAAUGUAGAUCAGGAAUGGUUAAGAAGCAUGUAGAAUUGACCAAAAAGUUUGUUUAAACUGUAAAAAGUGUUAAUGCUUUGUUCAAGAAUAUACUGAAGGAGUCAGGGGGGACCACAUGGGUCCCCUGGACCAAUGAAUAGCGUAAUAAUAAUAGUGAAUACUUUCUUUUUUUAAACUGUUUGUAUAAAUAAAAAGUGUUAUAAUGAAUCGUUUCAAACUAGCAAAAAGAUAAGGAAAAUCCAUGUGGAAUUAAUUGAAUUUUAUGUGAAUAUAUUUGCAUAAUUUUAUUCUUUUAUACUUUUGUGUAUGUAUGAAGAGCCCUUUGUGUGUGUUCUAUCUGUUAUUAUGUUAUCUCUUGUAUAUGAUUCUUUGUGUUUGUAGUCUUUGUGUUAUCGGUUGUUACAAAAGAAGAGAAUGCUUGCAGAUGAUGUUGUGAAAUCUGUAAUACAGUCCACCUCAUCUCCCAUCUGCCUGGAGUCUGUGUACAUGUGUGAAUGUAUGAUGUUGUGAAACCUGUAAUGAUAUCUACUGUAUAUACAGCACUUUCUAUAUCUAACAUGCUAAAUUUUUAAGUUUAGCAUUGUAUUUCCAUAGUGAUGGAAGACAAAGUCAAACAUUUUCUCCUAUCUCUUAUGUGAAAUAUGAUAUACGUUUAAACUUUGUUGUAUAAAAAGAUAGAAUCUCGGCUCCUGUUAUACAAUGUUUGUUGUGGCCUCUACUAUAUUUUAUGUCCCAAAAUGUUGUCCAGGGACUAGCCAACGCCC
Molecule: long non-coding RNA, 2288 nt
Organism: Hyla sarda
Lineage: Eukaryota; Metazoa; Chordata; Amphibia; Anura; Hylidae
Exons: 3
Source: RefSeq, a predicted model, not a curated record